GAUUGACCUCGGAUCAGGUAGGGAUACCCGCUGAACUUAAGCAUAUCAAUAAGCGGAGGAAAAGAAACCAACAGGGAUUGCCUCAGUAACGGCGAGUGAAGCGGCAACAGCUCAAAUUUGAAAUCUGACCCUCCCGGGGUCCGAGUUGUAAUUUGUAGAGGAUGCUUCGGGUUCGGUCGCGGCCUAAUUCGCUUGGAACAGCGGGUCAUAGAGGGUGAGAAUCCCGUCUGGGGCCGUGAGCCACGCCCGUGUGAAGCUCCUUCGACGAGUCGAGUUGUUUGGGAAUGCAGCUCUAAAUGGGUGGUAAAUUUCAUCUAAAGCUAAAUAUUGGCCGGAGACCGAUAGCGCACAAGUAGAGUGAUCGAAAGAUGAAAAGCACUUUGAAAAGAGAGUUAAACAGUAUGUGAAAUUGUUGAAAGGGAAGCGCUUGCGACCAGACUUGCACGUGGCGGCUCCCCCGGUCCUCUGGACCGGGCUAUUCCGCCACGUCCAGGCCAGCAUCGGUCUGGGCGGCCGGUUAAAGACCCCGGGAAUGUAUCUACCUUCGGGUCGACUUAUAGCCCGGGAUGCAAUGCAGCCCGCCCGGACCGAGGAACGCGCUGCGGCUCGGAUGCUGGCGUAAUGGUCGUAAGCGGCCCGUCUUGAAACACGGACCAAGGAGUCUAACAUCUAUGCGAGUGUUUGGGUGUCAAACCCCGGCGCGUAAUGAAAGUGAACGGAGGUGAGAACCCCUCCGGGGGCGCAUCAUCGACCGAUCCGGAUGUCUUCGGAUGGAUUUGAGUAAGAGCAUAGCUGUUGGGACCCGAAAGAUGGUGAACUAUGCCUGAAUAGGGUGAAGCCAGAGGAAACUCUGGUGGAGGCUCGCAGCGGUUCUGACGUGCAAAUCGAUCGUCAAAUUUGGGCAUAGGGGCGAAAGACUAAUCGAACCAUCUGGUAGCUGGUUCCUG
Molecule: ribosomal RNA, 947 nt
Filed under: Parabagliettoa cyanea
Lineage: Eukaryota; Fungi; Ascomycota; Eurotiomycetes; Verrucariales; Verrucariaceae
Description: eukaryotic LSU rRNA
Rfam family: Eukaryotic large subunit ribosomal RNA
Source: RNAcentral